GGAUAAUACUGGAUAGGCAAUUUUUCCUGUAAUGGUUUUUUGUUUAAAUGUUUUUUCGCCUAAGGGUGGGUCUGCGGCCGAUUAGGUAGUUGGUUAGGUAAUGGCUUACCAAGCCGUUGAUCGGUACGGGUUGUGAGAGCAAGAGCCCGGAGAUGGAACCUGAGACAAGGUUCCAGGCCCUACGGGGUGCAGCAGGCGCGAAACCUCCGCAAUGUGAGAAAUCGCGACGGGGGGAUCCCAAGUGCCAUUCUUAACGGGAUGGCUUU
This 266-nucleotide ribosomal RNA is filed under the name uncultured archaeon. RNAcentral's name for it is "partial 16S ribosomal RNA". It matches the Rfam family "Archaeal small subunit ribosomal RNA", at positions 144 to 410 of the family's 1478-position model. The record is from RNAcentral.